This is a non-coding RNA of Peromyscus maniculatus bairdii (prairie deer mouse), 460 nucleotides long. Lineage: Eukaryota; Metazoa; Chordata; Mammalia; Rodentia; Cricetidae. The record is from RefSeq and is a predicted model, not a curated record.
AUUCUGACAGGUGACUGGAAUUCAUACUUUCUUCCAACAGUGGAGACCUUCAACUCUACUUUGUGCACCUUCUUCCCCCACUUGCCCCUAAAACAAAACAAAACAGCAAAAAGGAAAACAUAGCAUGUUGGCUAAAACUGGAGCAAAGUGCACUAAAACAUUAACUUCUCGAACUGAAGUCUUGUACUAAGUCACCUUUCAAAACCAAUUGCUCUUUAGCCCUUUGUAGCACAGUGGAUGGGAGAGAGGAGACGUGCCAGGUGUUCUUCCAGGCGUUCUUCGAGCUUUAGGAGGUGCUUGUCAAGAGCUUUCUUUAUUUGGUGUAUUGUCAGAUCAGGAUUUUCAUAGCUGAUUGGAAGACUUGUGGGAAAACUUAUUUUGAUAAAUUAUUACACAUGCAGAAAACCUGAUCACACUGACUGGAUCUGUCCACAACAUGGAAAAUAAACUGGAUUUUCAG